GGGUUGUAGACUGAAUCUACUCAAGAAUUUCCUCCUCGUUGGACUUCCAAAUAUUUCCAUAAAUAGAAAAUUCCUUUUAUCUACUGAAAAAUCUUCUUUUGUUCCUUUUAAUAAAAUAGGAUGUGGGAUGGAAAAGGCCACAUGUUUCUAUCUACAAAAUGUAAUGAAGAAAUAUUAGCGCCUAGAUUUUCCAAUCCAAAUUUGAAAUCAGGUUUGCAUUUUCCAAUCCAAGCACAGCUAAAAUACCUGGCCAUUAGUUCGACCC
RNAcentral lists this long non-coding RNA (265 nucleotides) under Elaeis guineensis (African oil palm). Its description in RNAcentral is "long non-coding RNA (EGUI_LNC022384)". The record is from RNAcentral. Lineage: Eukaryota; Viridiplantae; Streptophyta; Magnoliopsida; Arecales; Arecaceae.